RNAcentral lists this long non-coding RNA (1950 nucleotides) under Coffea arabica (coffee). RNAcentral describes it as "long non-coding RNA (CARA_LNC000297)". Lineage: Eukaryota; Viridiplantae; Streptophyta; Magnoliopsida; Gentianales; Rubiaceae. The record is from RNAcentral.
AUUCCACCGUCUUCCCCUCAAAUUGCAUUGAAGCCUUUUCCUGCUCUCUCUACCACGCGCCUAUUCUGAGCAAAAUUCAGCACACCUAUUCUGAGCAAGUCCCAUCCCAACCGGCUAUGCUACCAAACCCACCAUCUCAUCUCUUUGUGACUUCCUUCUUUAAGCCAGCAGGUCAGCUGCUACUCCUGCAGCCGCUUGAUUUGCUGAUCAUUCACAUGGCCUUUGUACUUCAGAGCAGGAGAAUUGGGUGCAGGUGAACUACUUUGCUUACACUAGCCGUUUUUCCCUCUUUCUCUGAUAUCCAAUUAACCCGUUUCUGUAUCGAUUUCGUCUCAUGUUGCCGAAUUGUUGGAGCCUCACGUGAUAGUUGUACUUCAAAGGAGUGAAAUGGGGAAUUUUUUUUUAGGUAUGCCAUUCUAUUCUGAUCAGCUUUGGUAUUCAAUUUUCCACCCAAAUUAUGCUUUCUAUUCAACCUUCAUCAUCCGUAUGAUUACGAUUACAAAUAUCUGCUUGGAUGUGAUUUUUCCCUUAUUCCAGUUCUGCUGAGAAGUAGGAUUCCUAUUCACUUAGCCUGUACCUUUUAUCUGUAUUUGCACGUCUCUUUCUCUAAUCACACUCUCAUUCUAACCUUCGUUCACUCUGGUUUUGGCUUUUUUCCCUCUUGAUUCGGUAUGUGCUAUUUCAUAUGGAAGUACAAUUUUUUGUUAUUUCCUUUUUGGUUUGAACAUUUGUUUUUUCUUCUUUUUAUUUCCUUACCAGGGUUUAAUGAAUCUAAAUUUUGUUCGAAUAUAGUGUUGAUUUUUUUGUUGGAUUUUCACAACAGAUGAAGAUCAGAAAUAGGUGAAUUUAUUUUGUUCUCAUUUUCGGCUGUGAUGAUACAAUAUUGUUGCCGUGAGUUGUGUUUCAGGCUUGAUACUAACUGGAUUUAAGCUGUAUCUUGGCGAGGAAACUCAGAUGCAUUUUGGAGUAUAUAUUAUUCCAGAACUGCAACUGAGUUUGCAGCCAUGGUUGUGCUCUUCUUCUUCGCCUGCCAUUGACAAACAAAUUGGAGCUUUACUUUUAAUUGUCAAAGUUCAUUGUUUUUUUCAUUUAUUAGUCCAACGGUAGCUUAGUUUGUUCUUCCGAAAUUCUCGUACAAAUUCAGUUAUACUUCAAGUAUUAUUACUCCCUGUUUUGAUGCUUUCUUAUCACUUAUCUCAGGUAUGUUAUGAUCCCUUACAAUGAUUGCUUAUGUUAUAUUUGCUUCAUUAACUCAAAAAAUGGUUUUAGUAUGACACUGCCUUCAAGUGAAUAUGUGAAAUCUCAUAGGCAUGGCUAUCAAAUGUUUGAUGAAAUGUCUGUCUGAAACUUGGGAUAAUUGGUUCUGAGGUUGAUUGCAAAUGCAACAAUAAAUCUAGAUGGUGUUUUUUGGAUCUCUUGAGAAGGUUCUUUAAACAAAAGAAUUGCUUCAUUUGUGUUUCUAUUGAUAUCUAAAACUAAUAAAUUAGCUUUAUUUUGAAUCAAAUGUUGGCCAUUUGAUGGAUUUUAGAGUAAUCUAAGUGGUUCAACAUUGUCACUCAACUUGCUGUCCAGAUUCUUCUUCUUCUCUGCAUUGAAUUCACUGGUAAGUUUCAAAACUUAUGUUAACUUAAAGGUCUUUUCCAAUUUUUUCCUAUUUUUUGAAAACUGAGUGUAGCGUAAAAUGAUUGUUUUUUGCUUCUUUUUUGGUGGCUUGAUAAUAUCAAACUCUUAAGAAAAAGUUCCGAGCUCAUUCAGGACCGCCAGCUCCCCAGGGCACUCCUUUUUUAUAUCUGAGAAGCACCCUCCGAUGUAGCAUUUUGGUGCUGUAGGAUAUGGGGUCACUGAAACAGGGAGGUUGUAGCCAUCCACUAUACUUACGUCGUAGAAACUCGGCUGCCUCUUGUCAACCUGCAACGUAAACUCUACUAGCGUCACAGGAGGAACGCCGAU